Styela clava is the source of this 1074-nucleotide non-coding RNA. The record is from RefSeq and is a predicted model, not a curated record. Lineage: Eukaryota; Metazoa; Chordata; Ascidiacea; Stolidobranchia; Styelidae.
AGGGUCUAAUUAUGCAUGAGGAAAAGAUCGCAUUGGUCUCCGAUGCUGCUGCCAGCCCAAGAGAAAUGAUUUGCCACAAUAUGCCAAUUCGGCAAGGAUUCAAAACAACCAAUCUGUGGAUUAUAUGAAAUACAGAUGCUGGAACCAGCCCAAUAAAACUGAUUUUCCACAAUAUGAUAUGAUGCGCCUGUCUAUUUGAGAUGCUCCAACCAGCCCAAGAGAAAUGAUUUGCCACAAUAUGAUAAUUUGUGAAAAUGCCAGGCGUAGCGAACGAAUAUUCCAAAUUGAACAACGGACGAAACCACGAAUCUGCAAGAAUGGUAAUCUCGUUCAAAGACGAAAUUACGGAACGCAGGUAUCUCGGACGAAUUUUCCGAAUGGAGCGACGAUAGUAGCCCCCGAAUCGGCGUGAGUGAUUAUCUCAUUCGUGCAGACAUCUGAAGAUGACUCAAAGCGACUUUUAGUACGAACCCAGAAUGCGUUCAGUGAUUCACUCUUCGUUUCUGAUACAGAAUUGUACAGGAAUAACACCUCAAAUUAUUACCGAGGGCUGAGAUAGUUUUUUUUUUUUUUCAAGUAUUUAUGUAUGUCUAACUGCUAGCAGAAUACCGAGUGCGGCGGUAUUUUUUUUUUUUUUCUCUAAAAAAGCAUCUAUGUAAAACAAGUAUGAAAUUGAUGUCUAACUGCUUGCAGAAGAUGGUUGUUAAAUACGAUUUCGCUGCGCUACUGCACUGUCUAUCGAGACCUACAGCGCUGAAUCCCAUAAUGGUUGUUUGUUUCAGGGGUACUCAAACUUUUGGUGUUGACUCUUAUUUACGGAUCCCAACAAUAAUUUCAUAAAAACAAAAACACACAUUGUUACUCAUCGAUUAAUGGUCCUGAGUAAAUCAAAAUUACUUUAUUCAAUAAAUGCAUUAGCCGUUGUCAAAUUUUAUUAAUGCCGUUAUUGCUUCAUUGGACAAUUCAUAAACUACCCAAGUCAGUGUUUUAUUAAAUAAACGAAAUAGCUCGUGGAGCCCUGGGUCCCAGCGAUUUCUCUACACCCCCUAAAAUUUCAACCCCCUAAUUUUGAGG